Molecule: small RNA, 1889 nt
Filed under: Pan troglodytes (chimpanzee)
Lineage: Eukaryota; Metazoa; Chordata; Mammalia; Primates; Hominidae
Description: retained intron
Source: RNAcentral
GGAGUAGCGAGUCGGCAACCCGGAGGGGUAGAAAUAUUUCUGUCAUGGCUCAUUCAAAGACUAGGACCAAUGAUGGAAAAAUUACAUAUCCGCCUGGGGUCAAGGAAAUAUCAGAUAAAAUAUCUAAAGAGGAGAUGGUGAGACGAUUAAAGGUGAGUAAAAUUCUAUUCUUUUGGACAUCUGUGUAGGGCAGAGGUCCCCUGUGGAAAUCACAUGGGGCUAUAAUGUAUCUUGUUAGGGUAACUUAAAAAAGCAAAGCAAAGCAGCAAAUGGCAUAGAAAAGAUCUAAGGGAGUAGAGUAUAUAAGGUACAGUGGGGAUUAUUUGGCUAUGAUUAAAGGGACAGCAAUUAGGUGAAGCUUAGAUUUUCUAGGAUCUCCUAUACUUGGGUAUAAAGAACAAGUCUACAAUACUCAUAUUCCUUAUUGUCUAUACAAAGUUUUCUCCUUUCUUCUAUAUAGUUUCUAAAGACAACCACUUUAAGGGAGUUUUAAGUCUUUAUACUGAGUAAUUAGGCUGUGUACUACUUUCUUGUAAGUUAUUUUCAAAGUAGGUCAAAGGGCUUCACUUUAAGCUUCUCCCUCUGCUUCUGACAUGUAGUAAUGAAUCAAGAUUGCUGGUGAACUUCUAUGGAUGAGGCUAGGGCCUCUUCAUAUGUGUUUGAAUAAUAUUUUCACCUUUUCCUUUAGGGUGGUGAUGAUCUCUGUAAUUGUUAAAAUGGAUAAAGAAGCAUAGUGUUCAAGGAGAAUGUUAAGCUGGUCUAUUAGUUAGUUUAGAUGGUCUUUAUUUUUGAGCAUUUCCGAUCGAGGUUGUAUCUAUCUAGAUAUUUAUGUUGCUUGAUAUAUUAUUAUUUAUCUGGAUGUCAGGGCUGAAAAAUGUUCCCAAAUUAAUCAUUGAAGAUCCAGGGGCUUAAAAACAAAUACUCUUCUUUAUUGCUACAUGGUGUAUAGAAUUUUUAUAAAGAGAAAAAGAUGCUAAUACUAUCAUAAAUUUCACAUAAAGUCUUAAUAUUGUACAUGUAUAUGUUUAUACUUAAAGUAUCAGAAUGUCAGAUAUCAGAUGUUUAUUCAAAGGAAAAUCAUCUUUGAGCAGAUUAAAUUUACUAAUAGGUGGAUAUUUUAUCUAGUUGGGAACUGGUGUGUAUUUUAUUAAGAAUAGUCAAGCUAUGAAUCCUUUCUAUAUAUGACAUGUUUCAUUUUCUAUGUAUUUACCUUCUCUUGACCUAUUGCAUUUUUAGAGAAACUAAUACAUUUAUUACCUUAUAUUUGUUUAUACUAAGUGAGCAUUCCUGUUGUUUGUUGAGAAACUAAUCUUGAACUCAGAGCCUACACUUAAAACUGAUUAGCAUUGGUGUCUUUUAGAGAUGUUAUUUUCUCAGAUUUCUUUCCUAAUUUGGAGGACUCAUGAGUUAUUAAUGAGUUUUAUAACAGCAUUUGAGUUGUAGACAGUAGUGAGGAAUUCCCAUUUUCUGGACCUUGAACAAACUUUGUGGUUAUUGUUGGUGGAAUGAUUGCCUCAGUACUCAUAUUUAAUGUUUGUAAUAUGCUUUCAUUAUUUUGUAGACAUUUAUGUCUAGCAGUAAUCCAGUUAUACUUUUUUCUCAUUUAUUUUCCUAAUUUAUAGUUCCAUUUUUAGCAUCCUCCUUCUUAGAAAAAUAUGAAAAAAUUAUGUAGGAUGAUAUGUACAAAUACCCAUGUAAGUUUUAUACAUUAUAACAAUUUGUUAACGUGUAAGGUGAUACUGUUUAUAAAAUUUUUUUUCCUGUAACAUUUUAUUCAAAAUAUGCUUAAUCUCUUAUCUUUUGUUAAGAGAUCUACAGAAAUAAAUAGUUACAUGCAUGCAGUUCUUUUUUACCCUUUGUGGUUUUUCCUAAACAUAUAGGCAAUCAAA